Molecule: non-coding RNA, 88 nt
Organism: Desmophyllum pertusum
Lineage: Eukaryota; Metazoa; Cnidaria; Anthozoa; Scleractinia; Caryophylliidae
Source: the annotation of a GenBank genome assembly
GUAAAGGUGGUGUAUUAGGUACCGAAGUAGUCGUGGACUAGAAAUCCAUUGGGGUCUCUCCGCGCAGGUUCGAAUCCUGCCGACUACG